CAGGCCUAACACAUGCAAGUCGAACGAGAUCUUUCGGGGUCUAGUGGCGCACGGGUGCGUAACGCGUGGGAAUCUGGCCUUGGGUUCGGAAUAACAGUUAGAAAUGACUGCUAAUACCGGAUGAUGACGUAAGUCCAAAGAUUUAUCGCCCAAGGAUGAGCCCGCGUAGGAUUAGCUAGUUGGUGAGGUAAAGGCUCACCAAGGCGACGAUCCUUAGCUGGUCUGAGAGGAUGAUCAGCCACACUGGGACUGAGACACGGCCCAGACUCCUACGGGAGGCAGCAGUGGGGAAUAUUGGACAAUGGGCGAAAGCCUGAUCCAGCAAUGCCGCGUGAGUGAUGAAGGCCUUAGGGUUGUAAAGCUCUUUUACCCGGGAUGAUAAUGACAGUACCGGGAGAAUAAGCUCCGGCUAACUCCGUGCCAGCAGCCGCGGUAAU
Molecule: ribosomal RNA, 437 nt
Filed under: uncultured bacterium
Lineage: Bacteria
Description: bacterial SSU rRNA
Rfam family: Bacterial small subunit ribosomal RNA
Source: RNAcentral